RNAcentral lists this ribosomal RNA (1360 nucleotides) under uncultured organism. Its description in RNAcentral is "16S ribosomal RNA". It matches the Rfam family "Bacterial small subunit ribosomal RNA". The record is from RNAcentral.
AGUCGAACGUCCUGGUUGGCUUCGGCCAGCCAGGGAGUGGCGUACGGGUGAGGAACACGUGGGUGACCUGUCCUCUGGUGAGGAAUACCCUCGGGAAACCGGGGACAAGACCGCAUAGGCCUUUUGGGAUCACACCUUAGAGGCAAAGCUCUCUCCGCAAGGAAGGGCGCCAGAGGAGGGGCCUGCGCCCGAUUAGCCGGCUGGUGAGGUAACGGCUCACCAGGGCUACGAUCGGUAGCUGGUCUGAGAGGACGAUCAGCCACACUGGGAUUGAGAACGGCCCAGACUCCUACGGGGGGCAGCAGUGAGGAAUUUUCCGCAAUGGGCGAAAGCCUGACGGAGCAACGCCGCGUGCAGGAGGACGGCCUUCGGGUUGUAAACUGCUUUUCUCUGGGAAGAAGUCAGUGACGGUACCAGAGGAACAAGCCCCGGCUAACUACGUGCCAGCAGCCGCGGUAAGACGUAGGGGGCGAGCGUUGUCCGGAGUUACUGGGCGUAAAGGGCCCGCAGGCGGUCAAGCGCGUUCGGCCUGACAGGCUCCGGCUCACCCGGGGCAGGCGGCCAGAAAACGGCUUGACUUGAGGGCGUGAGAGGGACACGGAAUUCCGGGUGGAGUGGUGAAAUGCGUAGAGAUCCGGAGGAACACCAAAGGCGAAGGCAGUGUCUGGCACGUACCUGACGCUCGGGGCGAAAGCUAGGGGAGCGAACGGGAUUAGAUACCCCGGUAGUCCUAGCCGUAAACGAUGACCACUAGGUAUCUGAGGUAUCGACCCCUUGGGUGCCGGCGCUUACGCAUUAAGUGGUCCGCCUGGGGAGUACGGUCGCAAGAUUAAAACUCAAAGGAAUUGACGGGGACCCGCACAAGCAGCGGAGCGUGUGGUUUAAUUCGAUGCAACACGAAGCACCUUACCAGGACUUGACAUGCCCUUGCACCAGCCGUUAUGGGCUGUCUCUUCGGAGCGGGGGCACAGGUGCUGCAUGGCUGUCGUCAGCUCGUGUCGUGAGAUGUUGGGUUAAGUCCCGCAACGAGCGCAACCCCUGCCGGUAGUUGAACUUCUCUACCGGGACUGCCACGAGCAACGUGGAGGAAGGUGGGGAUGAAGUCAAGUCAGCACGGCCCUGACGUUCUGGGCGACUCACACGCUACAAUGGCCGGGACAGCGAGGAGCCAACCCGCGAGGGGGAGCUAAUCUCCCAAACCCGGUCUCAGUUCAGAUUGCAGGCUGCAACCCGCCUGCAUGAAGGAGGAGUUGCUAGUAACCGUGAGUCAGCAUAUCACGGUGAAUCCGUUCCCGGGUCUUGUACACACCGCCCGUCACACCACGAAAGUCGGCAACACCUGAAGCCGCUGAGCUAACCC